GUUUGGUUAAGUUAGAAAGGGCGCACGGUGGAUGCCUUGACACUAGGAGUCGAUGAAGGACGGGACUAACGCCGAUAUGCUUCGGGGAGCUGUAAGUAAGCUUUGAUCCGAAGAUUUCCGAAUGGGGAAACCCACCAUACGUAAUGGUAUGGUAUCCUUAUCUGAAUACAUAGGGUAAGGAAGACAGACCCAGGGAACUGAAACAUCUAAGUACCUGGAGGAAGAGAAAGCAAAUGCGAUUUCCUGAGUAGCGGCGAGCGAAACGGAACAUAGCCCAAACCAAGAGGCUUGCCUCUUGGGGUUGUAGGACAUUCUAUACGGAGUUACAAAGGAACGAGGUAGACG
Molecule: ribosomal RNA, 345 nt
Filed under: Bacillus paranthracis
Lineage: Bacteria; Bacillati; Bacillota; Bacilli; Caryophanales; Bacillaceae
Description: partial 23S ribosomal RNA
Rfam family: Bacterial large subunit ribosomal RNA
Source: RNAcentral